GACGAACGCUGGCGGCGUGCCUAAUACAUGCAAGUCGAACGCACUCUCGUUUAGAUUGCAGGAGUUUGCUCCUGAUUGAUAAACAUUUGAGUGAGUGGCGGACGGGUGAGUAACACGUGGGUAACCUGCCCUAAAGUGGGGGAUAACAUUUGGAAACAGAUGCUAAUACCGCAUAAAACCUAACACCGCAUGGUGUAGGGUUGAAAGAUGGUUUCGGCUAUCACUUUAGGAUGGACCCGCGGUGCAUUAGUUAGUUGGUGAGGUAAAGGCUCACCAAGACCGUGAUGCAUAGCCGACCUGAGAGGGUAAUCGGCCACACUGGGACUGAGACACGGCCCAGACUCCUACGGGAGGCAGCAGUAGGGAAUCUUCCACAAUGGACGAAAGUCUGAUGGAGCAACGCCGCGUGAGUGAAGAAGGUUUUCGGAUCGUAAAACUCUGUUGUUGGAGAAGAAUGUAUCUGAUAGUAACUGAUCAGGUAGUGACGGUAUCCAACCAGAAAGCCACGGCUAACUACGUG
RNAcentral lists this ribosomal RNA (520 nucleotides) under uncultured bacterium. RNAcentral describes it as "partial 16S ribosomal RNA". It matches the Rfam family "Bacterial small subunit ribosomal RNA", at positions 28 to 507 of the family's 1533-position model. The record is from RNAcentral.